CGGGAGAUGUUUGCNCUAGCUACUUGCAUCAUUGCUACAGAUGAUGCAAGAUCGACUAAGUCGAAUAAAAUUCUAGGUAGAAUUAUGAUAAUGACAUUGUCUGCCUAUGUGUCUUGACCAAAUUACGUGCCAGCAGUCGCGGUAAUACGUAGUAGACUAGUGUUAUUCAUGUUUAAUCGGUUUAAAGGGUACCUAGACGGUAGAUCAAGCUUUUAUAUAUAAAUUAUGUUAAUUAAAGGACUAAUUUACUAGAGUUACUUACGAGGGGGCAUUAAAGUACUGCUGGUGUAGAGAUGAAAUUCUGUCAUACCUCUUUUCGAAAGAAAAAUCAUGGCACUGGUAUAGGCGAAGGCAUCCCCUUAUGUGAUAACUGACGUUGAGGGACGAAGGCUUUGUGUAACAAACAGGAUUAGAUACCCUAGUAGUUGAAGCAGAAAAUGAUGAAUGUCAUAGAUUAGAUAUAUAAGUUUAUUCUAUAAAUGAAAGUGUAAGCAUUCCACCUCAUGAGUAAUUUGGCAACAUUGGAAUUGAAAUCAUUAGACCGUUUCUGAAACCAGUAGUGAAGUAUGUUGUUUAAUUUGAUGGUCCGCAAAAAACCUUACCAC
Molecule: ribosomal RNA, 605 nt
Filed under: Punctelia borreri
Lineage: Eukaryota; Fungi; Ascomycota; Lecanoromycetes; Lecanorales; Parmeliaceae
Description: SSU rRNA
Rfam family: Bacterial small subunit ribosomal RNA
Source: RNAcentral